UGCCAGCCGCCGCGGUAACACGUGGGGGGCAAGCGUUGUCCGGAUUUAUUGGGCGUAAAGGGCUCGUAGGCGGCUUGACAAGUCGGGCGUGAAAGCCCGGGGCUUAACCCCGGGAUGCCGUUCGAAACUGUCAUGGCCAGUUUCCGGUAGAGGUGAGUGGAAUUCUCGGUGUAGCGGUGAAAUGCGCAGAUAUCGAGAGGAACACCAGUAGCGAAGGCGGCUCACUGGGCCGGUAAAGACGCUGAGGAGCGAAAGCGUGGGGAGCAAACAGGAUUAGAUA
This 280-nucleotide ribosomal RNA is filed under the name uncultured bacterium. RNAcentral's name for it is "partial 16S ribosomal RNA". It matches the Rfam family "Bacterial small subunit ribosomal RNA", at positions 506 to 784 of the family's 1533-position model. The record is from RNAcentral.